GCCCUCGUAGCUCAGGGGAUAGAGCGCCGGAUUCCUAAUCCGUAGGUCGCAGGUUCAAAUCCUGCCGAGGGUACCA
Molecule: transfer RNA, 76 nt
Filed under: Nitrospinota bacterium
Lineage: Bacteria; Pseudomonadati; Nitrospinota
Description: tRNA-Arg
Rfam family: tRNA
About the family: Transfer RNA (tRNA) molecules are approximately 80 nucleotides in length.
Source: RNAcentral